This 3679-nucleotide long non-coding RNA is filed under the name Pan troglodytes (chimpanzee). Its description in RNAcentral is "lincRNA". The record is from RNAcentral. Lineage: Eukaryota; Metazoa; Chordata; Mammalia; Primates; Hominidae.
UUUGAACACCGCCUCCCACCCCGCGGGAAGUGCGGGCUUGGUUUGUACCGCGGUGACCCCCGCCCCCUCCGAAGCCGCAGAGCCGGGGCCUCGCGCCAGCAAGGCUGGAGAUGCCUUCUUGGCGGCUGAGUUUAUUUAUUAUAGGAAGUCAUUCGCUCGUGGGGUAUUUAUGUGAUUUGGCGAGUGAUGUGCCCGGCCAGCGCCCUCCUUGGCUGCAGCCCCGCAGGAGGACCCGGAGUAGGGUGGGAUGGAGUGGGUCGUGGGAGGAGCGCGUCAGCGCCUGCCCGGGGACCCCCAGCUCCCGCGAGGACACGGAGGCGCGCACGCCGCUCGGUUUUCCUGGAAAGUGGAGAAGGAGCGUCCUGGGCAGGUCCUCUGAGCUCACCCUCCCUCGGACUGGGGCGGGUCUGUGACGGGGUCACUUAGGACACGACGUCCCCCCCCCAUUCCCUUCCCCCGCCCAGGGCGUUCGCGGUGGGCGCCCACCGCCAAGCCCCACUGUUCCCAAGGAUGCGCCAGGUGCUUCCCGUAGCGUCCUGGGUUGAUUGACCCUUAAAAAAACAGCACCCCUCGGAGGUGGCCGGCCCUCUCCUCCCAGGGUCUCUCCGGGUCACGAUCUUCCAAAGUUCGGAAACUCGCAGGAUCGCGUGUGCAAUCUCCCGCUACCUCCCGGGGGGCCGGGGAGAGGUCAGAGGAGCGAGUCCCGCGUCCACCGGCCUCGCUUGCCCCCUGCCCGUUUGAGGAUAAUUCCAGGGAGCAGGGUGGAGUGUGCGGACAUCAUUGGAGGCAGUGCUGGGGCUUCCCGCGUUGGCGGCGCUCCACCCGGCGUGGGGGGCGGCUGCACGGGCCCCCGCGGUGGGGACGCUGCGCACGGGGCAAGGUCUCCCUAGGAAGCGCCCGGGAAGGAGAUGGGGCCCGCCAGGAACCCCCCUCACUGACCAGCUUUCUGCACGCCGUGCAGGAGGGGGCCACUUCCUCGGAGAGUAUUGGCUUUUAAUUAAAACAAGCCCUACAAUUUUUACAUCGGGCUGCCACACUUGUGUGUCCCUUCUUCCUUGAAUUUAACCAGGAGUGAGCAGUGGACAGCUUCUGCCCUAUGAGAAGGAGGCGAAGCAGGACCUGAAAUCCCGUGCUCAGCUCCCACAUCCCCCGUGUCCAGGACAAGUCCUUUGCUGAAUCAGCGGCAGACACCACCCGGAGCCCUUUGGGAGCCUUUCCCUGUUCUUCCAGCAUGGAUCUGAAACUCCCUUCCCACUUUCUGCAGCCUCCCAGAGAUAGUUCAGGCUCCAGCCUCAUGUGAUAGCAUGAAGAGAAACUGGUUCCAACAGCUGUGUGCUCUGCUGCCCUCAUCCCAAACAACAGUUUAAAUGCACAAUUACACUUUUCUCUAAGGCCCAAAAUAGGAUAGGAAAGAUCGUUUUGCUAUCCCUGAAUGCCUGGCACCCUUGUUUCGUAAGCAGGAAGUCAGUCCCAGAAUAGUUGUUCUGCUCCCUCCCUUCUAAUAAGUACUGCGCUGAGUGUGCUUGCUUUGCCAGAUGGUUAAAAUAGCGCAGGGGAUAGAAGGACAGAUGUCUUCACCCUCAUGGAGUUCACCUUCCAGUAGGAGGAGGCGAUAGGCCGGGGUCUGCACAUGUGCGUGCUACAGCCUGUUCCACAGUGCGUGGCGUGCGGGGCAGUAGAGACGGGAUUUCACCAUGUUGGCUAGGAUGGUCUCGAUCUCCUGACCUUGUGAUCCGCACCCCCCUCAGCCUCCCAAAGUGCUGGGAUUACAGGCGUGAGCCACUGCACCCUGCCAGAAAACUCAUUCUACUCCAUCCUACAGUUUUCCCUAAGAGAGAAACAAUAAAACACCACCACGACCAAUGGCAAAAAGCUGGCACCCACUCCACGACUUUUCAUAUCUACACGUUUGUACAGCUUUAUUUUUAAGCAUUCUGAAAUUCUAUGCAGGAGAGACCCCAGCUAGGUUUAGGGAGUCCUAGGGUUUGUGGAGUAAAUGAAGUUUCUCCCUAGAAUUAGGGAGGGUAGAGACAGGCAGAGAACUGACAAUCCUAACAGCUGCUGUCCUCAGAGCCACUGUUUCUGAGAGCUGCUCGCUGAGUGCUUCUAGCGAGUUAAAUGGUGUUCGCCCAAAAGACGUGUUCGUGUCCUGAUCCUGGGAACCUGUGGCUGUGAUCUUAUUUGGAAAAAGCUCUACAUUACGUCUCUGCAGAAGUAAUCAUGUUAAGGAUCUUGAGAGGACGUGACCCUGAAUUAUCCGGCUGUGCUUGACAUCCAAUGACUGGUGAUGUUGUAAGAGAAAGACAGAGGGAGAUGUAAGAUAUGAGAGAAGGCCACGCCGAGACUGGAGUGAUGUGGCCGUGAGCCAAGGAAUGCCUGGAGCCACCAGAAGCUGGCAAAGGCAGAAGGAGCCUCCUCUGGACCCUGUGGUGGGUGCGCAGCCUGGCAGAUGUAUUCAUUUUGGACUUCUGGCCUCCAGGGCUGUGAGAGAAUACAUUUCUGCAGUUUUAAGCCACCCAAUCUGUGUCCCUGGGAAGCCCAAAUAGGGCGAGACCUUUUGCCAAGUGGUCUCCAAGUGUCACGUCAUCGAAUCCUUCUCCCGGGCUUGUGCCAUAGUCUUUCCACUUUAGAGAGGAGGAAACGGAGGCUCUGGGGCACAAAGCCAGUCAGUGGCGGGGCCUGACUUUCAACCCAGCCUGCAUGGGGUCAGAGAACCCACUUUCCCCGUGGGGCCUGCGGCCUAUGCUAAGGAUGCUUGUUCAUCUCUCCUGGGCCCGGGAGUGGUUCUUCUGGCCUAGAAGGCAAGGGAAGCCAGUCUUUCGGUUUCAAGGUUUCCCAUUAGUGGAGUCAAGCAAAAAUGGUGUGUUGCUCUUCUUCCUGAGCUCAGCCUGGGAGCACGGCCUUAACAUGCUCAGUGGAUCCCAAGACGGCAGCAUGGCGGUGCCAGCCUGGCAGCCUUAGCUCCUUGCAGCUGUGCUUGUGAAGGGAGCAGUGAGUGGCUUCCCUCUGUGACCACCUUGGGUCCUAAGUUUCACUGAGGCUGGGAUCCAUGCGUCUUGCAAUUGGCUAGGAAUUUCCCAGGCUUUCCCUCCCUUCCCUGUGCAGGGCACUGGGUGUGAGGCAUUGCGUCCGUUCUUCUGCCCACCUGCUUCCCCCUAAGAGUGUGAGCUGUAUAAAGGCAGGAACCAAACAGGAGCCUCCACGUGUUCCCAGUUCAAGGGCAGUGUCCCUUGUGUGUUUCUUCAAUAAUUCAGUGGGUGAUUUAUUCUGCACGGACACUGCACACACUCGGCCCUGCCGUCUCCGGAGCUGGGAGGUGUGGAGCUGGCUCCUGACCUAUUUACACACCGAGGAGGGAUGUGGAAAACAGGAGGAGUCCCAGGGCUCCAAUGCAAAGAGGAGCCUCUUCAUUCCCUCUGCCGUGGCCGUGCAAGGGACAGCGCCUUGUGGGAUUGUGUCCUCCACCCAAUUAUCCUUAGCAUUAGUUUGCUAAGGAUAAUGGCCUCCAGCUCCACCCAUGUCCCUGCAAAGGACAUGAUCUCAUUCCUUUCUGUGUCUGCAUAGUAUUCCAUGGUGUAUAUGUACCGCGUUUUCUUUAUCGAGUCUAUCAUUGAUGGGCGCUUCAGUUGAUUCCAUGUCUUUGCUACUGUGACUCGUGCUGCAAUGAGCAUUCGCGUGC